GACGAACGCUGGCGGCGUGCUUAACACAUGCAAGUCGAACGGAAAGGCCCUGCUUUUGUGGGGUGCUCGAGUGGCGAAAGGGUGAGUAACACGUGAGUAACCUGCCCUUGACUUUGGGAUAACUUCAGGAAACUGGGGCUAAUACCGGAUAGGAGCUCCUGCUGCAUGGUGGGGGUUGGAAAGUUUCGGCGGUUGGGGAUGGACUCGCGGCUUAUCAGCUUGUUGGUGGGGUAGUGGCUUACCAAGGCUUUGACGGGUAGCCGGCCUGAGAGGGUGACCGGCCACAUUGGGACUGGGAUACGGCCCAGACUCCUACGGGAGGCAGCGGUGGGGAAUAUUGCACAAUGGGCGGAAGCCUGAUGCAGCAACGCCGCGUGCGGGAUGACGGCCUUCGGGUUGUAAACCGCUUUCGCCUGUGACGAAGCGUGAGUGACGGUAAUGGGUAAAGAAGCACCGGCUAACUACGUG
RNAcentral lists this ribosomal RNA (468 nucleotides) under uncultured bacterium. RNAcentral describes it as "partial 16S ribosomal RNA". It matches the Rfam family "Bacterial small subunit ribosomal RNA", at positions 28 to 507 of the family's 1533-position model. The record is from RNAcentral.